UCUCUCUUCUCUCUCUCUCUCUCUCUCUCUCACACUCAUAUUCUCUUUCUCUCUCUCUCUCUCUCUCUCUCCUUAUUGUCACUCUCUAUUCUCUACAACUCCAAUGACCACCUUCAAACCCUCAUAGAUCAAACUUAAAAUUACCACCAUCACACUCCCCUCAUCCUGACGAACUCAUCUGUACCAACUGAUCAUGAAAUGGACGAGUUUUGAGUCCAACUCAGAGCUCCGACUCGGGUGGAGUUUUCCCGACGUGUUCCCGUCCGAGUUACAAGGUUUCGAGAGUUUUGGAAGCACCUACGCAACUCCUCAUGGCCACUAACCUAAGUUGGGAGAGGAGCCAAUGUCGGAAUACCCAGUUUCAAGGAGUCGAGUUUAGGUCUGAGACUUUUGAGCCAAUUUCAGUCCAUUUCCAUCCACUUUUUGGACUUUUGAAAUGUAUAAUCUUAUUCUACUCCUCAAGAGCUUCAUUUCUAUAUAAAGUGCGUUGAAAAUGGUUGAGAAAUGAGCAAGAUAUGAAGAUUUGAAAUUUUUCCAAAAAUUGGUGAAAUUUUCCCAAUUUUUGGCAAACCAGACGACGGCGGCGGCUGACGGCAACCGAGGUCCACUGGAGAAAGAGGAAUAUUCUGUUAGACUAACGGAAUAUUCUAAUGCCAUUAAGGUGCGUGGUCGCGACUUGGCGGCGCGUGAGAGUUCGUCCGGCCACCGGCUGGCGAGUGGUUGACAUGUACGGGUCCACGUCGUCGAGUAGAAUGUUUUUGUAUAUUUAAACCCUCCAUUUGAGCAAACUAUGGGGGUUUUUCCUAGCCUUUUCGUUUAUGUCCUUAUUAAUUAAUUAGUUUAGUUAUUUCGCACAUAGGUGAGACUUAUCUUGAGGACUUACGAGGUCAAGCAAGGCUAGGAGGCUACGAUCCAUUGACGUAUCAGUGAGUGGGCAUUUGUUUUCGUGUGUGUGUAUAUAUAUAUAAACUUUAUAGUUUCCACAUAUGCUUUUGGGUUGAUUUAUGGCUAUCAUGCCAUGUUUUAUUUCAUUUUUGAAAUGUUAUUACGUGGUUGAGAAUUAUAUACUGUCAUGGCAUGUUCAUAUA
Pyrus x bretschneideri (Chinese white pear) is the source of this 1088-nucleotide long non-coding RNA. RefSeq lists it as uncharacterized. The record is from RefSeq and is a predicted model, not a curated record. The transcript has 2 exons. Lineage: Eukaryota; Viridiplantae; Streptophyta; Magnoliopsida; Rosales; Rosaceae.